AGACCCGAAACCCGGUGAUCUAGCCAUGGGCAGGUUGAAGGUUGGGUAACACUAACUGGAGGACCGAACCGACUAAUGUUGAAAAAUUAGCGGAUGACCUGUGGCUGGGGGUGAAAGGCCAAUCAAACCGGGAGAUAGCUGGUUCUCCCCGAAAGCUAUUUAGGUAGCGCCUCGUGAAUUCAUCUCCGGGGGUAGAGCACUGUUUCGGCUAGGGGGCCAUCCCGGCUUACCAACCCGAUGCAAACUGCGAAUACCGGAGAAUGUUAUCACGGGAGACACACGGCGGGUGCUAACGUCCGUCGUGAAGAGGGAAACAACCCAGACCGCCAGCUAAGGUCCCAAAGUCAUGGUUAAGUGGGAAACGAUGUGGGAAGGCCCAGACAGCCAGGAUGUUGGCUUAGAAGCAGCCAUCAUUUAAAGAAAGCGUAAUAGCUCACUGGUCGAGUCGGCCUGCGCGGAAGAUGUAACGGGGCUAAACCAUGCACCGAAGCUGCGGCAGCGACACUGUGUGUUGUUGGGUAGGGGAGCGUUCUGUAAGCCUGUGAAGGUGUGUCGUGAGGCAUGCUGGAGGUAUCAGAAGUGCGAAUGCUGACAUAAGUAACGAUAAAGCGGGUGAAAAGCCCGCUCGCCGGAAGACCAAGGGUUCCUGUCCAACGUUAAUCGGGGCAGGGUGAGUCGACCCCUAAGGCGAGGCCGAAAGGCGUAGUCGAUGGGAAACGGGUUAAUAUUCCCGUACUUGGUGUUACUGCGAAGGGGGGACGGAGAAGGCUAUGUUGGCCGGGCGACGGUUGUCCCGGUUUAAGCGUGUAGGUGUGUGUUCCAGGUAAAUCCGGUUCACUUUAACACUGAGGCGUGACGACGAGGCACUACGGUGCUGAAGCAACAAAUGCCCUGCUUCCAGGAAAAGCCUCUAAGCAUCAGGUAACAUCAAAUCGUACCCCAAACCGACACAGGUGGUCAGGUAGAGAAUACCAAGGCGCUUGAGAGAACUCGGGUGAAGGAACUAGGCAAAAUGGUGCCGUAACUUCGGGAGAAGGCACGCUGACACGUAGGUGAAGUGAUUUACUCAUGGAGCUGAAGUCAGUCGAAGAUACCAGCUGGCUGCAACUGUUUAUUAAAAACACAGCACUGUGCAAACACGAAAGUGGACGUAUACGGUGUGACGCCUGCCCGGUGCCGGAAGGUUAAUUGAUGGGGUCAGCGCAAGCGAAGCUCCUGAUCGAAGCCCCGGUAAACGGCGGCCGUAACUAUAACGGUCCUAAGGUAGCGAAAUUCCUUGUCGGGUAAGUUCCGACCUGCACGAAUGGCGUAAUGAUGGCCAGGCUGUCUCCACCCGAGACUCAGUGAAAUUGAACUCGCUGUGAAGAUGCAGUGUACCCGCGGCAAGACGGAAAGACCCCGUGAACCUUUACUAUAGCUUGACACUGAACAUUGAGCCUUGAUGUGUAGGAUAGGUGGGAGGCUUUGAAGUGUGGACGCCAGUCUGCAUGGAGCCGACCUUGAAAUACCACCCUUUAAUGUUUGAUGUUCUAACGUGGACCCGUUACCCGGGUUGCGGACAGUGUCUGGUGGGUAGUUUGACUGGGGCGGUCUCCUCCUAAAGAGUAACGGAGGAGCACGAAGGUUGGCUAAUCCUGGUCGGACA
Molecule: ribosomal RNA, 1645 nt
Filed under: Salmonella enterica
Lineage: Bacteria; Pseudomonadati; Pseudomonadota; Gammaproteobacteria; Enterobacterales; Enterobacteriaceae
Also listed under: 1 other name
Description: partial 23S ribosomal RNA
Rfam family: Bacterial large subunit ribosomal RNA
Source: RNAcentral